This 1344-nucleotide long non-coding RNA is filed under the name Mus musculus (house mouse). Its description in RNAcentral is "jun proto-oncogene, opposite strand". The record is from RNAcentral. Lineage: Eukaryota; Metazoa; Chordata; Mammalia; Rodentia; Muridae.
GGGACCGAGACGCGGGGAUCCAGAAAGCAGGGGAGGCGCGCUAGUGGCCGGGGGCGGAGAGCUUGGGUGGGAGUGAAGGUUGCACACAGGCGCGCGCCCGCGCGCGGGCACACACACACACACACACACGCACGCACGCCCGAGAAAGGGCUGAAUGAUCUGAGUGACUGAAGCUGGCUCCGCACCCCCGCACUUCCGGGGGACAGAGCGAUGCGGGUUAAAAGGGUUGUGUGCGCCCUGGGUGUGGGAGCACGUAAGUGCGUUGAAGUUGAGCGGGUUUGAGAGUAGCCCUCCAAGAUGAGUAUGCUUGGAAGUUUAGUUUCGGAGAAGGAUCUGCGCCGCAGUGUGCUGUACCUGGAAACCAGAGAUUUGCGGUGUUCGGAACCGACUCAUCAGGGUCCCCGGCACAACACUUUAUUCUCUGGACGUGCCGGGGGAGGGGUGUUCGCUUUGCCUCCGAGGGACCCCUCCUCUAGGUGUGAAAGAUGCUAGCCCAGCGCCCAUGGGGUGUCGAAAGCAACAUAUAAAGGUUCGAAACUCAGGAAACCUCGGCGAUCGCCUGCGCUAGCACAUACACACGGUCCCGCGCACACUCAGUCUGCGCCCGCCCUUCCUCCCUCCCUGAUUUGCUUCUGGGAAAACAAGCCUUGAGAGCUGCGGACUCGCCCCAAGUCACGGUGCUUAAGCAGGAGUCCCUGGUAGAAACAGGCUGAAAACUCCCCUCCCCGCUCACUGGUGGAGUCAUAUCCUGUGCGGCCUCUAGGAAGCGCUAGACACAUCUCCAAAUACGCCCUGGUUCAUAACACCUAAGCCUUAUUGUCCUAUUGAGCGUGUAAGCUUCUUGAGAGGAGGAAAUAGCUCGCACCAGAUGGUUAUUUGCCACUUGAACUGGAGAGGAGGAGAGAUUGCAUCUACAACCGCCUUGAAUGUGCCUGAUCUUGUCUGAUCUCAGAAGCUAAGCAGGUGGUUCCCCAGACCCUGUUCAACUGUCCCGCAGGCCGGGACAGAAGCCAGCUAAGGUUGCUUGAUAGAAGGCUGAGAAAGAAUGAGGCUGCUGAGUGAAGCCAGAGGGAGAAUACGCUCAAAGACAAGCAGUGUCACUGAAUGGAGACAGUUGGAUUUUUAGGACAUUGCUGCAUGGGCACUGGGCCCUUCCAUAUCUGGAAGACUCAGAACUCCACACACGACAUUUAUGGGACCCCCUCUGCCACAGCCACUGUGGUCUAUGGCAGUAAAUCCACUGAGCUAUUAGAUAUUUUUGUUGGUAGUGGUGUUGGUGGUUUAUUUGUUGUGUUUAUUAUAUCUGAGCCAAUCAAAGAAAUGUAAUAAACAAUAAUUUCUUAA